UGAGUAACACGCGGAUAAUCUGCCCUGAAGUGGGGGAUAAUCUCGGGAAACUGAGGAUAAUACCCCAUAGGUGUGGUAUGCUGGAACGCUUCCACGCUCAAAGCUCCGGCGCUUCAGGAUGAGUCUGCGGCCUAUCAGGCUGUAGUGGGUGUAACGGACCCACUAACCUACGACGGGUAGGGGCGUUGAGAGACGGAGCCCCCAGAUGGAUUCUGAGACACGAAUCCAGGCCCUACGGGGCGCAGCAGCUACGAAAACUGCACAAUGUGGGAAACCACGAUGCGGGCAUUCCGAGUGCCAAGGCAUUGCUUUGGCUGUUCUCUCGCCUAAAAAGCGAGAGAAGUAAGGGCCGGGUAAGACGGGUGCCAGCCGCCGCGGUAAUACCCGCGGCCCGAGUGGUGCUCAUUAUUAUUGAGCUUAAAGCGUCCGUAGCCGGCCUCGUAAAUCUUUGGGUAAAUCGGGCAGCUUAACUGUUCGAAUUCCGAGGAGACUGCGAGGCUCGGGACCGGGAGAGGUUCGAGGUACUCCGGGGGUAGGGGUAAAAUCCUGUAAUCCUCAGAGGACCACCAGUGGCGAAGGCGUCGAACUAGAACGGAUCCGACGGUGAGGGACGAAGCCCUGAGGCGCAAACGGGAUUAGAUACCCCGGUAGUCCAGGGUGUAAACGCUGCGGGCUUGGUGUCGGAGGUCCUACGUGGCGUCCGGUGCCAGAGAGAAAUUGUUAAGCCUGCUGCUUGGGGAGUACGGUCGCAAGACUGAAACUUAA
This 765-nucleotide ribosomal RNA is filed under the name uncultured archaeon. RNAcentral's name for it is "bacterial SSU rRNA". It matches the Rfam family "Archaeal small subunit ribosomal RNA", at positions 90 to 859 of the family's 1478-position model. The record is from RNAcentral.